Molecule: ribosomal RNA, 454 nt
Filed under: uncultured Parapedobacter sp.
Lineage: Bacteria; Pseudomonadati; Bacteroidota; Sphingobacteriia; Sphingobacteriales; Sphingobacteriaceae
Description: partial 16S ribosomal RNA
Rfam family: Bacterial small subunit ribosomal RNA
Source: RNAcentral
ACGGGAGGCAGCAGUGAGGAAUAUUGGUCAAUGGGCGAGAGCCUGAACCAGCCAUGUCGCGUGCAGGAGUAAUGCCCUAUGGGUUUUAAACUGCUUUUGACGGGGGAUAAAGUGGACCAUGCGUGGUCUAUUGCAGGUACCCGUCGAAUAAGGAUCGGCUAACUCCGUGCCAGCAGCCGCGGUAAUACGGAGGAUCCGAGCGUUAUCCGGAUUUAUUGGGUUUAAAGGGUGCGCAGGCGGCUGUUUAAGUCAGCGGUGAAAUGUCAGGGCUCAACCUUGGCACUGCCGUUGAAACUGGGCGGCUAGAGUGCGUUUGGGGUCACUGGAAUGUGCGGUGUAGCGGUGAAAUGCAUAGAUAUCGCACAGAACGCCGAUCGCGAAGGCAGGUGACCAAGCCGCAACUGACGCUCAUGCACGAAAGCGCGGGGAUCGAACAGGAUUAGAUACCCUGGUA